Molecule: long non-coding RNA, 4609 nt
Filed under: Malus domestica (apple)
Lineage: Eukaryota; Viridiplantae; Streptophyta; Magnoliopsida; Rosales; Rosaceae
Description: long non-coding RNA (MDOM_LNC014825)
Source: RNAcentral
CCAACUUUCUAAAAAAACUACAACUAUUUUUACAAAUUUCCAUUACCCAAUGCUGAAAAAUGAGAAUCACGAAGCAAUGAAGAACGGAACACGCGAGAACCAAAAAGUUAAAAACAACACGUAACCAUUUCAAAGACCCAAAAUCCUGCAAGGACAAAAAAAUCCCAUAAAAUCAGUACAUCAGCACUCCCUGCAAAACCCCAAAAUCAGAAAAUUAUAAAAAGAACCCAAAAUCAGUGGCAUGGUCCUCGUUUCUCCAUCAUUCAGUAGCUAAUGACCUAAUGGAAAAGAACCCAAAACAUACAGCUUAAAAUAUGGAAAGUGCUUAUAAAAGCUCAUGAAUAACGUUCAAAGCCUGCAUAGAAAUGGUAUAGCGCAGAUAACAACAAACAAUAAAACUAUGCACAGUAUAACCUAAAUCCGAUAUGUUGCAUUCCCCACACACAGAUUGUUCAAAAUUAAUUUCGUCUCCGUCUUUUUUCAAAUCUGAUAAAAUCCCCAAAACACAAAAAAUAGCAGCUAACUAUUUUUUGAACUCUGUAAACAACGAUAUGCAUCUUAACCCAUUUAACAUAUUCAUAAAAUAACAUCAAACACAUUUAUGCAUGAGAUAAUAUAGAAGUGAAGUCUCACAACUUUCAUAAAAAAUUAUUACUUUGUUAGAGAAAGGCUUGAAAAAAUAUGUAAAUUACUCACCUCUAUUACAAAAAUGUUACAACAGUAGACAAAAAAGGCCAAAAAUACCAAAAGCCGCACCUCCUGAAAUAAAAAACAUAACCAAACGACACAUUCUCAGUAUCUAAACGAUAUCCAGAAAAAAAGAAAUGAACAGACGAAACCCAUGUAAAUAUACAGAACAAACCAAAAAAAAAAAAAAGAACUGAAGCCAGUAAGAAGAUCACAAAUCUGAUAAAGCAAAAGGUAACAUAAUCUAUAUCGAUUUAAUUAUCCAUCCAAAAAGACAUUUGAAUGAAGAACAUUUUUAAGGAUCCAAACAACCAUUAAACUAAACAAUUAAAAGUAAAAACAGCAAAGCAUUCAUUGAAGAAAUAUAUAUAUAUAUAUAUAUUAUAACGUAUUUUGUUCUUUAUACCUAAAAGAAAAACAUUGGCUUUCUUGUAUGCACUGAAGUAUGCAUGUGUCGGAAAUUUACAAUCUAUAGAGACUCAAUCUCAGACUCAAAAAGACAUCUAAAGGAAAAGUAAUAAGAAAAAUAAGUAGUGGUUUUACCUAUACUCCAUGUGUGGACUCCAAUUUUCAAUCACAAUUCAAAAUUCAAGAGGCCUAUAAAUCAACCACAUAGGAAAUGAUCAGUGGAAGAAAAAGAAAAACAACUGAAGCCAAAAUAGCAUCUAACAAAUCAUUUAGAACCAUCACAGAAAACAAUUUUUGCAUAUAAGUAAUUUAAAGGAAUACCAUCAGGUCAUGCAUAUAUACAACGUACCCAAUUAGAUAAGUAGCACAUCAACAAUUGAUGAUCAAAAAGUUAGUCAGCCUCAAUUGCUUGAAUCUAAUUAACUCAAAGAUAAUAAACAGUCCAUUUAAUGCACGGGCUGACUAUCAAUUUUAUAAAGCUAUAAUUCUGUGCAGUUCAAAAACCAAGUGGAAGAAUAGGCAAAAACUAUCUCAUCGCCUGUAAAUGUAAUUAACUAAAUAUUAAACUUCACAGCCACAAAUAAACCUAAAUUCCUCCUAAAACUAUCUCAUUUAAGCUUGAUUUUACUAUAAUCUAUAAGUGUGGUAAAAAAUGGGAGGCCAAACGAUUUGUUAACAAAAAAGGUAGACAUAAAAGUAAAAGGAACAGGGCAGACAUUAGUUGAGGAGAAGCUAAUGUCACCUUGAAUUGACGACAAACAGUUCUUAUCUUCUCGAAUUAACGAAGAUAAGUACCAUUUUUCUUUAAUUCAAGGUAAUAUAAAAAGAAAUUAUACCUGUACAGUGUUCAGAUGUAGCAAUCCUAUGCAAUCGGCCAAAUGAUGUGUGUCCUCUCAAAGAUCUGUAUAUCCAUUACAGACUAAUCUUCAGUCUUGCAGAAAAUGAUAUGUUGACUACAAUUUCCCAUACUACUAAAAAACACAAAUAAUUCUAUCUACAAACCAAAUAAUAUGUGCAACUUUAUGCUACAAUGGUAGAAUAAGAUGGUUGUACAGGACGACACAAAGAUUGAGACUUUUUUUUACUUCUAAAAUUCUACACACUUUCGAGCCCUAAAUUUUCCCGGAAACAAAAAAAAGUGAAAGAAGUCGUACCUGGUUUGAGAGAGUGGGACACCAUCGGCGAGUUUGGUGUAGCAGUGAUGGCGGAGAUCUCUGGUGAGAAAGCUAAUAAGAUGGACAAAAUCAUUGAACAAAAAAAACCUCGCUUUUUAAAAUUAAAGUCAACAAAAAUUUGAACAAAGAAAAGAGAACUCAAACCCGAAACAAAUAAGUCGGAGAACUCGCCAGGAAACCCAAAGUUUCUGCAGGAUUGGCGAUUUCCUGAAAACCAAGCUUUUGUAGGUUUAAAAUUUCUUCCCUAAGGCAACAGAUCCAACAUUCCCAACUUUAGCUAUUUCAGCUACAUAAUAGAAAGAAAAAAAAAUUUAUAUAAUUAACUAAUCUGAUUUAAGAUUAAUCGAAAAGCUUGGAAAUUUCAGCUUUAAAAUUACAUGUCAGGCUGCAAAUCUAAUAAAAAGCGUAGAAUUUUAAAAAUGCUGACCUUAAAUACAGAGGCCUUCGCAGGCUGCAAAGAAGCGUUAGAAACCCGAAAAACCGGAUCUCCUGAAACCAAAAACAAAACCAAAUUAACCAUCAUCACCCAUAAUUCGAAGCCACAAACAUAAUCCCCAAAAUUACAACCCAAAAAUUUAAACAAAAAAACCCAUUUAUAAAUCCAAAUUUACACUCCCAAGUGCAAGACUCUAAGCUCCAACUGUUCUUUCUCAACUUUAGCUAUUUCAGCAACAUAACAUAAAUAAAAAGGUCGUACCCAGUGCACAAGGCUCCCGCUUUACGCAGGGUCUGGGAGAGGUGAAUGUCGGCUAGCCUUACCCCCAUUUUAUGGAGAGGCUGCUCCCAAGUCUCGAACCCGAGACCUACCGCUCAUGGGCGAAGACACUUGCCAUCGCACCAAGUGCGACCUCUAGCAACAUAACAUAAAUAAAAAGAUCGUACCCAGUGCACAAGGCUCCCGCUUUACGCAGGGUCUGGGAGAGGUGAACGUCGGCUAGCCUUACCCCCAUUUUAUGAAGAGGCUGGAACAUAACAUAAAUAAAUAAACAAAAUUAAUUUAACUAUAAUUAACUAAUAUGAUUUAAGAUUAAUCAAAAAACUUGGAAAUCUGCUUGAAUCCAAUCUCAAAAUUGAAAACGAACACUUCACUUUUACAAAAGUUGUACAAAGCAAAAAAAAAAAAACAGACAAAUCAAAGUCUCACAAAGGGCCACAACGACAGCAAAAUUGCAACAGAAAGAGGAAAAAUGUUCAAUCAAACCAUUGGAUAACUCUUCUAAGGCAGCCAAAAAAAAACCCACAAAUUCAAAACCACAAAAAUCCAAUCUAAAACAUCGAUUCACAGACUGAGAUGCACAAAAUGAUAUAUUAACAAAUCCAAAACGAAAUACAAAAAUUAAGAACCAACAAGCAAAAAAAUACUGAUUAUCCCCUGCAUACGUGAGCACACGUUCAAAAAGCCUCUCAAAGGCUGAGAUUCAACUUUCAAACAUAAAGACUUUAAGCCACAAUUGUUCUUUCUUAACUUUAGCUACUUCAGUUACAUAAUCGGAAAAAAAAAAUUAUUUAAUUAUAGUUAACUAAUCUGGGUUAAGAUUAAUAAAAAAGCUUGGAAAUUUCAGAUCUAAAAUCACACCUCAGGCUGCAAGUAGAAUCAAAACCAUGGAAUUUCAAAAUCACUGACCUUAAACACACAGGUCUUCGCAGGCUUCAAAGAAAAGUCACAAACUCGAAAAACCCAAUCUCCUGAAAUCGAAAACAAAACCAAAUUAACCAUCAUCACCUAGAAUCCGAAGCUACAAAACAAAAUUCCCAAAAUCAAAACCAAAAAAUUUGAACAAAAAACUCAUUUAAUAUCCAAAUUUACACUCCCAAGCACAUAACAUUCAAAGCAGACAAUUACCCAAAUCAAAUCGACAGCAGGAGAUGCAAUCUUUUAUGGGCUUCAAAUUUUCUUCAAACCGAGACCAAAUUCGCUAGUUUUCAGCAAGAGAGCGUUGCCGUUUGUAACCCCCGAUGAAAAGAUCCAAACAAAUUUGACUAACAGUAGACAGAGAGAGAGAGAGAUAGAGAGAGAGAGGUGAAAAUUACUCGCUGGUGACGAAGCUAAUGAAUUCGGAGACGCAUUCCUGGACGGUGUUCGACUGAUCGGCACGAGUAGAGACACCAGAUCAGAAAGACAGAAAAAUUAGGGUUUGGGAGAUAAAGAAACUGGGGCAGAGAGAGAGGGAAAGAGAAGCAGAAAAGAGGAUAAUUUUAUGCAUUUUUUUUAGCCGCUUUGAAUUUUUUUUGGCCGACAGGCAUUUGCGUCCGAUUAUUUUUGUCGAAGCCGGUGACACCAAAACCGGCCUCCGGCUUUCGGACCAGGAUUGUCUGCCCCUUCAUUUUCCCUGCCAUGU